AUUGAACGCUGGCGGCAUGCCUUACACAUGCAAGUCGAGCGGCAGCGCGGGGGCAACCCUGGCGGCGAGCGGCGAACGGGUGAGUAAUGCAUCGGAACGUGUCCUCUUGUGGGGGAUAACCAGUCGAAAGACUGGCUAAUACCGCAUGAGAUCGCAAGAUGAAAGCAGGGGACCCGCAAGGGCCUUGCGCGAGAGGAGCGGCCGAUGCCUGAUUAGCUAGUUGGUGGGGUAAAAGCCUACCAAGGCGACGAUCAGCAGCUGGUCUGAGAGGACGACCAGCCACACCGGGACUGAGACACGGCCCAGACUCCUACGGGAGGCAGCAGUGGGGAAUUUUGGACAAUGGGGGCAACCCUGAUCCAGCCAUGCCGCGUGUGCGAAGAAGGCCUUCGGGUUGUAAAGCACUUUCGGCCGGAACGAAAUCGUCACCGUUAAUAGCGGUGAUGGAUGACGGUACCGGAAGAAGAAGCACCGGCUAACUACGUGCCAGCAGCCGCGGUAA
Molecule: ribosomal RNA, 502 nt
Filed under: uncultured bacterium
Lineage: Bacteria
Description: partial 16S ribosomal RNA
Rfam family: Bacterial small subunit ribosomal RNA
Source: RNAcentral